AUAACGAUGUACAACAUUGAAGGUACAGUUGAAGGUCCAGUGUCCCAAGCAAACCAGAGUUCUAUACCUUCUUGCCUGCAGUUAUUUCCAUUCCAAAAUUCCCACAAGAUGUCCAGAGUCGCUUGGAUCUCAAAGAACCAGUCCAGAAAGAACAGAAGUACCGAAACAAAAUAAUUGGGACUCUUUAUGAAAUGCUGUCACAGUACACAAUGUACCCAACCCACUCAGACUACAUCCAGGUCAUCAAAGCCCUGAUUGUGAAGUAUCCUUUCUUAAGAGAUGUACACGGAAAUGGUUAUGACACCUGGCACAGCCAACUCAAGAGAAAGUUCAAAGCAGAACGGGCUCCCCUAAUCAGCAACGAAGAAGUGAACCGGGUUAAAGAAAAGUUUGGACGCACGCAGAAACAUCGGACCACAGAGGAAUCCAGCAGCUCCUGUCUGAAGAGACUGAAGCCCUCUCUCGUUGAUUUAAUGCAUCCCUGCCAAGACAACAUCUGUUGCCGCUUUAGCGAGAACUUCACUGCUGUUCUUCAAAAUGUUCUUCAAAUGACCAAGGAUUUGCCACUGAAGAAGGUCUACAUGGAGGCAAGAGAGAAUGCACUGGCUGAAGACAUUACAGGUACUAAUUUGACCUCAUACAAAUAG
This 647-nucleotide long non-coding RNA is filed under the name Oreochromis niloticus (Nile tilapia). RNAcentral describes it as "lncRNA (ENSONIG00000027826.1)". The record is from RNAcentral. Lineage: Eukaryota; Metazoa; Chordata; Actinopteri; Cichliformes; Cichlidae.